AUUGAACGCUGGCGGCAUGCCUUACACAUGCAAGUCGAACGGCAGCGGACCUUCGGGUGCCGGCGAGUGGCGAACGGGUGAGUAAUAUAUCGGAACGUACCUUUCAGUGGGGGAGUAACGUAGCGAAAGUUAACGCUAAUACCGCAUAUUCUGUGAGCAGGAAAGCAGGGGAGUCGCAAGACCUUGCGCUGAUUGAGCGGCCGAUAUCAGAUUAGCUAGUUGGUGAGGUAAAGGGACUCACCAAGGCGACGAUCUGUAGCGGGUCUGGGAGGAUGAUCCGCCACACUGGAACUGNGACACGGUCCAGACUCCUACGGGAGGCAGCAGU
Molecule: ribosomal RNA, 328 nt
Filed under: uncultured bacterium
Lineage: Bacteria
Description: bacterial SSU rRNA
Rfam family: Bacterial small subunit ribosomal RNA
Source: RNAcentral